AUCAUCGAAGAGCUGUUAGAUGAGUUGCACGGCGCUCAAUGGUUCUCCAAGCUGGAUCUUCGUGCUGGGUAUCACCAAAUCAAGUUGGCAGAAGGAGAAGAAUACAAGACGGCAUUUCAAACUCACUCAGGCCAUUUCGAGUUUUUGGUAGUCUCUUUUGGACUCGCAGGCGGUCCAGCCACGUUCAAUGGAGCCAUUCAUUUCACACUAAAUCCUCUCCUCAGACACUGCGUGCUCCUGUUCUUCGAUGACAUACUAGUUUUCAGCAGAACAUUGCAAGAUCACCUGGACCACUUGCGCCAAACCCUGGAGUUGCUGCAGCGAGAUCAUUGA
RNAcentral lists this ribosomal RNA (333 nucleotides) under Triticum aestivum (bread wheat). Its description in RNAcentral is "partial small subunit ribosomal RNA". The record is from RNAcentral. Lineage: Eukaryota; Viridiplantae; Streptophyta; Magnoliopsida; Poales; Poaceae.